GCGUCGGUAGCUCAGCUGGAUAGAGCAUCAGACUUCGGAUCUGAGGGUCGAGGGUUCGAAUCCUUCCCGGCGCGCCA
RNAcentral lists this transfer RNA (77 nucleotides) under Pseudobdellovibrionaceae bacterium. RNAcentral's name for it is "Bdellovibrionaceae bacterium tRNA-Arg". It matches the Rfam family "tRNA". From Rfam's summary of the family: Transfer RNA (tRNA) molecules are approximately 80 nucleotides in length. RNAcentral also lists the same sequence under 1 other name. The record is from RNAcentral. Lineage: Bacteria; Pseudomonadati; Bdellovibrionota; Bdellovibrionia; Bdellovibrionales; Pseudobdellovibrionaceae.